GACAGAGGUGCCAAGCGUUAGGCGGAAUCACUGGGCUUAAAGCGUGUGUAGGCGGCUAGGUAAGUCGGAUGUGAAAGCCCCGGGCUCAACUCGGGAAGUGCACUCGAUACUGCUUAGCUCGAGUACCGGAGAGGUUGGUGGAAUUCUCGGUGUAGAGGUGAAAUUCGUAGAUAUCGAGAGGAACACCGGUGGCGAAGGCGGCCAACUGGACGAGUACUGACGCUGAGACACGAAAGCGUGGGGAGCAAACAGG
RNAcentral lists this ribosomal RNA (253 nucleotides) under uncultured bacterium. RNAcentral's name for it is "partial 16S ribosomal RNA". It matches the Rfam family "Bacterial small subunit ribosomal RNA", at positions 524 to 776 of the family's 1533-position model. The record is from RNAcentral.